Molecule: ribosomal RNA, 447 nt
Filed under: uncultured bacterium
Lineage: Bacteria
Description: partial 16S ribosomal RNA
Rfam family: Bacterial small subunit ribosomal RNA
Source: RNAcentral
AGCGAACGCUGGCGGCAGGCUUAACACAUGCAAGUCGAGCGCCCCGCAAGGGGAGCGGCAGACGGGUGAGUAACACGUGGGAACGUACCCUUCAGUUCGGAACAACCCAGGGAAACUUGGGCUAAUACCGGAUACGUCCGUAAGGAGAAAGAUUUAUCGCUGAAGGAUCGGCCCGCGUCUGAUUAGCUAGUUGGUGAGGUAAUGGCUCACCAAGGCUACGAUCAGUAGCUGGUCUGAGAGGAUGAUCAGCCACAUUGGGACUGAGACACGGCCCAAACUCCUACGGGAGGCAGCAGUGGGGAAUGUUGGACAAUGGGGGCAACCCUGAUCCAGCCAUGCCGCGUGAGUGAUGAAGGCCCUAGGGUUGUAAAGCUCUUUUAGCGGGGAAGAUAAUGACGGUACCCGCAGAAAAAGCCCCGGCUAACUUCGUGCCAGCCGCCGCAGUAA